AAAAUCAUUUGUUUUUUUAAAACAAUUACCCAAAACCUUCAGUAAACCCAAUGUCUCCUUCUCUCUCUCGAUCUCCCCAGAACCUUCAACCUUCAACCCAAAAACCUUCAACCACCGUUGCAGCUCCAUCAGGGAGAGAGAGCUCGUCGCCGCUGUAAAGGCACUGCCAUGGGAGCCGUCGCCCUCGAUCUUCGUCCCGACUUCGGCCUUGGUCCUUCCACUCUAGGUUUUUUCUUCUCUCUCUCUUCUGUCUUUUUCUUUCGGAUUGUCUUAAUUUCUUAAUCAAUUUUGGAAUUAUUCUCCUUCGUUUAUAAUUGGCUAUGUGAUUUGCAAUUUCUUCAUCUGAUUAUCUGGGGAUUUCUUUUAGAAUCAAUUUGGUAGAUGAUUUGAUAUAAAAAUUCACGAAAUUUUGCAAUAAUCUUCAAUUAAAUUUCUAGGCUUUUCUAUUUUAUUGAAUUUCGUAGUGGAGUUGAUUUAAAUUUCACGAAUAGAUUAAUUUGCAUAGGUUUGAUUUACUUUUCUGCAUUUUUUUAUUGCAAAUUUUUUUAUUAUAUUUCUGGGUAUUUUUUUGUCAUUUUGGAUUAGUUUUGUAGAGGAUUUGAUUUGCAUCGCAUAAAUUUCUAUAAAAAUCAUCGUUUUUUCCAAUUUUUCUGAGCGACAAAUUAAGAAAAUGGUUGAGAUUGUUUCCAUGAAAGGUUAAAAAAUGCAGAAUAUGUUUUGGGUUUUUAAUUGUUUUUGAGGAUUAUUGAUCUAAAUUUUUGAGAUUUAGAAAACAAUCUUGGAUAGAAGUGUUUGACCCCAAUUUUUGUUGUGUCGUAUUACUAUUGAAUUAAAAAAUGCAGAAUAUGUUGUGUGGUUCUUGUUAUAAUUGGUGAUUCGAUGAGAAUUUGUGGGAUUUAUGUGAUGGAAUUUUAAAACACCAGACUUUGUAUCAUGAUGAUAGUGAAUUGGACAAAAUUUCAGAGGUAAUUUCAUUUGAUAAAUAUGAAUUUACUCCACAUAUAUUCACGCUUUUAAACUCUGCCAAAUAAAAUAUAUGGUCUCUUUUGUAUACCAGAUCAAGAAUGAUGCUUUAGAAACCGGUGAACUCGAUUACAUUCAUGGAGCUGCAAUGGUACGCUAUAGCAGGAAAUUUCCUUGGUCUUCCUGCAGUUACUGUACCGGGUUGCCUAUCGGUCUGCAAUUUAUCGAAAAACCUGGGUUGAAGCAACAUUAAUUCACAUAGCUUUUGCAAUCCAGACGCUCAUCAUCGUCGUUUCAACUUCAAAGGAGAGAGAGAUGGAUUUGGCAAGCAGAGCGAUGAACAUAGUGAACAAAUUGGUAAACAACAACACAUUCGUCAACAUAUGCUUAGUGGGUUCAUUCACUGCUCUUGGAAUCAGAUCAUUGAAUCAAGAAAACCUAAUUGCAGCCCUUGAAUCCAAGAGACCAGCUCUUUCCAACACCAACAAAGCUAUGAAGAAAUCAAUCUGGGAUUGGAAACAGAAGCUUUACGCUGAAGCUUCUUCCUCUGAAACCUCCAUUGUUCCUCUUUCUCGCCUUAAGGCCAUCUAUGGCGAAUUUGUCACUCCCCCUUCUGCUUUACUUGCAGUUACUUGAACAAAGAAGGUCUAAGCUCUGAAAACGCCAUGAGAAGAAAAGGGAGUGAACAUCUCAUACAGUUUGUACGACCUCUCUGUGGAUUAAUGAGCUACUUAUAUUUUGUAUGUAUCUCAUGUUUUAUAGAUGACUGAUUCAUUGAAUUCAACAUAAAUGCAUUUUUUCUUUCAGUCCUAUCA
Long non-coding RNA from Spinacia oleracea (spinach), 1778 nucleotides. RefSeq lists it as uncharacterized. The transcript has 5 exons. NCBI's taxonomy places the organism in Eukaryota, Viridiplantae, Streptophyta, Magnoliopsida, Caryophyllales, Amaranthaceae. The record is from RefSeq and is a predicted model, not a curated record.